GACGAACGCUGGCGGCGUGCCUAAUACAUGCAAGUAGAACGCUGAAGGAGGAGCUUGCUUCUCUGGAUGAGUUGCGAACGGGUGAGUAACGCGUAGGUAACCUGCCUGGUAGCGGGGGAUAACUAUUGGAAACGAUAGCUAAUACCGCAUAAGAGUAGAUGUUGCAUGACAUUUGCUUAAAAGGUGCAAUUGCAUCACUACCAGAUGGACCUGCGUUGUAUUAGCUAGUUGGUGGGGUAACGGCUCACCAAGGCGACGAUACAUAGCCGACCUGAGAGGGUGAUCGGCCACACUGGGACUGAGACACGGCCCAGACUCCUACGGGAGGCAGCAGUAGGGAAUCUUCGGCAAUGGACGGAAGGCUGACCGAGCAACGCCGCGUGAGUGAAGAAGGUUUUCGGAUCGUAAAGCUCUGUUGUAAGAGAAGAACGAGUGUGAGAGUGGAAAGUUCACACUGUGACGGUAUCUGACCAGAAAGGGACGGCUAACUACGUG
RNAcentral lists this ribosomal RNA (495 nucleotides) under uncultured bacterium. RNAcentral's name for it is "partial 16S ribosomal RNA". It matches the Rfam family "Bacterial small subunit ribosomal RNA", at positions 28 to 507 of the family's 1533-position model. The record is from RNAcentral.